RNAcentral lists this ribosomal RNA (498 nucleotides) under uncultured bacterium. Its description in RNAcentral is "partial 16S ribosomal RNA". It matches the Rfam family "Bacterial small subunit ribosomal RNA", at positions 30 to 523 of the family's 1533-position model. The record is from RNAcentral.
AUUGAACGCUGGCGGCAUGCCUUACACAUGCAAGUCGAACGGUAACAGGUCUUCGGAUGCUGACGAGUGGCGAACGGGUGAGUAAUACAUCGGAACGUGCCUAGUAGUGGGGGAUAACUACUCGAAAGAGUGGCUAAUGCCGCAUGAGAUUUACGGAUUAAAGCAAGGGAGGGCAAGACCCUGUGCUACUAGAUCGGCCGAUGGCAGAUUAGGUAGUUGGUGGGAUAAAAGCUUACCAAGGCGACGAUCUGUAGCUGGUCUGAGAGGACGAUCAGCCACACUGGGACUGAGACACGGCCCAGACUCCUACGGGAGGCAGCAGUGGGGAAUUUUGGACAAUGGGCGAAAGCCUGAUGCAGCAAUGCCGCGUGCAGGAUGAAGGCCUUCGGGUUGUAAACUGCUUUUGUACGGAACGAAAAGCCCCGGGUUAAUACCCUGGGGUCAUGACGGUACCGUAAGAAUAAGCACCGGCUAAUUACGUGCCAGCCGCCGCCGUAA